RNAcentral lists this ribosomal RNA (910 nucleotides) under uncultured bacterium. RNAcentral describes it as "bacterial SSU rRNA". It matches the Rfam family "Bacterial small subunit ribosomal RNA", at positions 51 to 957 of the family's 1533-position model. The record is from RNAcentral.
ACACAUGCAGUCGACGGUAACAGGAAGCAGCUUGCUGCUUUGCUGACGAGUGGCGGACGGGUGAGUAAUGUCUGGGAAACUGCCUGAUGGAGGGGGAUAACUACUGGAAACGGUAGCUAAUACCGCAUAACGUCGCAAGACCAAAGUGGGGGACCUUCGGGCCUCAUGCCAUCAGAUGUGCCCAGAUGGGAUUAGCUAGUAGGUGGGGUAAUGGCUCACCUAGGCGACGAUCCCUAGCUGGUCUGAGAGGAUGACCAGCCACACUGGAACUGAGACACGGUCCAGACUCCUACGGGAGGCAGCAGUGGGGAAUAUUGCACAAUGGGCGCAAGCCUGACGCAGCCAUGCCGCGUGUAUGAAGAAGGCCUUCGGGUUGUAAAGUACUUUCAGCGAGGAGGAAGGCAUUAAGGUUAAUAACCUUAGUGAUUGACGUUACUCGCAGAAGGAGCACCGGCUAACUCCGUGCCAGCAGCCGCGGUAAUACGGAGGGUGCAAGCGUUAAUCGGAAUUACUGGGCGUAAAGCGCACGCAGGCGGUCUGUUAAGUCAGAUGUGAAAUCCCCGGGCUCAACCUGGGAACUGCAUUUGAAACUGGCAGGCUUGAGUCUCGUAGAGGGGGGUAGAAUUCCAGGUGUAGCGGUGAAGUGCGUAGAGAUCUGGAGGAAUACCGGUGGCGAAGGCGGCCCCUGGACGAAGACUGACGCUCACGUGCGAAAGCGUGGGGAGCAAACGGGAUUAGAUACCCUGGUAGUCCACGCCGUAAACGAUGUCGACUUGGAGGUUGUGCCCUUGAGGCGUGGCUUCCGGAGCUAACGCGUUAAGUCGACCGCCUGGGAGUACGGCCGCAAGGUUAAACUCAAUGAAUUGACGGGGGCCCGCACAGCGGUGGAGCAUGGUGGUUUAUUCGAUGC